Molecule: ribosomal RNA, 253 nt
Filed under: uncultured bacterium
Lineage: Bacteria
Description: partial 16S ribosomal RNA
Rfam family: Bacterial small subunit ribosomal RNA
Source: RNAcentral
UACGUAGGGGGCAAGCGUUGUCCGGAAUUAUUGGGCGUAAAGAGCGCGUAGGCGGUCCGAUAAGUCGGCUGUGAAAGUCAGGGGCUCAACCCUUGAAAGCCGGCCGAUACUGUCGGACUAGAGUCCGGAAGAGGCAAGUGGAAUUCCCGGUGUAGCGGUGAAAUGCGCAGAUAUCGGGAGGAACACCAAUGGCGAAGGCAGCUUGCCGGGACGGUACUGACGCUGAGGCGCGAAAGCGUGGGGAGCAAACAGG